UACGUAGGGAGCAAGCGUUGUCCGGAAUCAUUGGGCGUAAAGAGCGCGUAGGUGGCCACAUAAGUCCGCUGUGAAAGUCAAAGGCUCAACCUUUGAAAGCCGGUGGAUACUGUGUGGCUAGAGUACGGAAGAGGCGAGUGGAAUUCCUGGUGUAGCGGUGGAAUGCGCAGAUAUCAGGAGGAACACCAAUAGCGAAGGCAGCUCGCUGGGACGUUACUGACACUGAGGCGCGAAAGCGUGGGGAGCGAACAGG
RNAcentral lists this ribosomal RNA (253 nucleotides) under uncultured bacterium. Its description in RNAcentral is "partial 16S ribosomal RNA". It matches the Rfam family "Bacterial small subunit ribosomal RNA", at positions 524 to 776 of the family's 1533-position model. The record is from RNAcentral.